GAUGAACGCUGGCGGCGUGCCUAAUACAUGCAAGUCGAGCGAACAGACGCGGAGCUUGCUCCUCUGACGUUAGCGGCGGACGGGUGAGUAACACGUGGAUAACCCUCCUAUAUGACUGGGAUCACUUCGAGAAACCGGCGCUAAUACCGGAGAAUCUCUUGAACCGCAUGGUGCAAUAGUGAAAUACGGUUUUGGUGUCACUUAUAGCUGGAUCUGCGCCGCAUGAGAUAGUUGUUAAGGAAACGGCUUACCACGGCAAGGAUGCGUAGCCGACCUGGUAGGGUGAUCGGCCACACUGGAACUGAGACACGCUCCAGACUCCUACGGGAGGCAGCAGUAGGGAAUCUUCCGCAAUGGGCGAAAGCCUGACGGAGCAACGCCGCGUGAGUGAUGAAGGUCUUCGGAUCGUAAAACUCUGUUAUUAGGGAAGAACAAAUGUGUAAGUAACUAUGCACGUCUUGACGGUACCUAAUCAGAAAGCCACGGCUAACUACGUG
RNAcentral lists this ribosomal RNA (497 nucleotides) under uncultured bacterium. Its description in RNAcentral is "partial 16S ribosomal RNA". It matches the Rfam family "Bacterial small subunit ribosomal RNA", at positions 28 to 507 of the family's 1533-position model. The record is from RNAcentral.